This 831-nucleotide ribosomal RNA is filed under the name Triticum aestivum (bread wheat). RNAcentral describes it as "partial small subunit ribosomal RNA". Lineage: Eukaryota; Viridiplantae; Streptophyta; Magnoliopsida; Poales; Poaceae. The record is from RNAcentral.
AUGGACGGUCCUCGCCGGCUCCUCGCGCUCGCGGUCCUCCUCCUCGCCUCCGCGUACGGAGCGGACGCCGCCGGCCUCCUCCGCGCGCCGCCGACCGGGUACAAGUACAACGCGACCUUUACCUUCACCGGGGAAUUCCUCGUCCUGCUUUCCUGCAUGGGCCCGGCCAACGGCACGGCGGCGUACGGGCACGGCGGGAUCAUCCACAGCUGCACGCUCGACCAGCUCAAGGAAGGCAGCUCCGCGCCGGAGACGACGCCCUUCAAGUUCAAUCACGGGCACGGCUACCCGGCCCCGUCGCCGCGCGCAGCACCGCCGGAGGACGGCCUCCUGCAAGCUGCAGCAGGGGGAGAGCAGGAGCAGCACGUGGGCGCAGCUCCAGCGGUGGCUCUUCCUCUUGGUCGACGUCGACGACGUCGCCUUCGACACUGCCUACAGCGGUGGCCCUUCGCCAACGGGCACGGCCACCCGCCGCGCAACUUGAACGCGGUCAAUCACGGGCACGGCCACCCGCCCCCCUCGCCGCCAGGGCACGCAGACCCUCCGGCGGACGGCCUCCUGCAAGCUGCAGCAGGGGGAGCUGGGCCGCCGCGUGAACACGCCGUGGUGCAGCCGCAACCGCAACGGCGGCUACCACCACAUCCACAUGGAGGCAGAGGUGGAGAGGAGAAGCAGCACGCGGGCGCAGCUCCCGCCGUGGCUCCUCGUCGACGUCGCCUCCGACACUGCCUACAGCGGUGGUCCUGCGCCGACGGCAGGACCACGCCGGCGCGCAGCUUGGACGCGGUCAGCGACGGAGGAAAGAAGAAGGGAGAAGAAGAUGAAAACUGA